CCUACGGGGGACUGCAGUCGAGAAUCAUUCACAAUGGGGGAAACCCUGAUGGUGCGACGCCGCGUGGGGGAAUGAAGGUCUUCGGAUUGUAAACCCCUGUCAUGUGGGAGCAAAUUAAAAAGAUAGUACCACAAGAGGAAGAGACGGCUAACUCUGUGCCAGCAGCCGCGGUAAUACAGAGGUCUCAAGCGUUGUUCGGAAUCACUGGGCGUAAAGCGUGCGUAGGCUGUUUCGUAAGUCGUGUGUGAAAGGCGCGGGCUCAACCCGCGGACGGCACAUGAUACUGCGAGACUAGAGUAAGGGAGGGGGAACCGGAAUGCUCGGUGUAGCAGUGAAAUGCGUAGAUAUCGAGAGGAACACUCGUGGCGAAGGCGGGUUCCUGGACAUUAACUGACGCUGAGGCACGAAGGCCAGGGGAGCGAAAGGGAUUAGAUACCCCUGUAGUC
This 446-nucleotide ribosomal RNA is filed under the name uncultured bacterium. RNAcentral's name for it is "partial 16S ribosomal RNA". It matches the Rfam family "Bacterial small subunit ribosomal RNA", at positions 338 to 795 of the family's 1533-position model. The record is from RNAcentral.